Molecule: long non-coding RNA, 1464 nt
Organism: Danio aesculapii
Lineage: Eukaryota; Metazoa; Chordata; Actinopteri; Cypriniformes; Danionidae
Exons: 2
Source: RefSeq, a predicted model, not a curated record
AAGUCACAGGUGCUGCUAGGGUGAGACAGACAUCGCUUUCAGAGUCCUUAGGUGCAGCAGGCAGGCACUAUCCAUGUACAGAGGGAGAAAAUGUGGCGAUGUGGCUGUAUUUUGGGACAAUGAUAAAACGGAAAAAGGCCAAGUCGCGGGGGCAGCAGUCUUAGGAGAGAACUCCAGACUUCACUCUCCCCAGACACAUCCUCCAGCUCCUCCUGGGGGAUCCCGAGGCGUUCCCAGGCCAGCCGAGAGACAUAGUCCCUCCAGCGUGUCCUGGGUCUUUCCCGAGGCCUCCUCCCGGAGGGACAUGCCUGGAACACCUCCCUACUGUAGGUAGUCGUCUAGGAGGCAUCCAGGUGCCCGAGCCUCCUCAGCUGACUUCUCUUGAUGUGAAGGAGCAGCGGCUCUACUCCUGGGUGACUGAGCUCCUCACAAUAUCUAUAAGGGUGUGCCCUGCCACCCUGCGAAGGAAAUUCAUUUUGGCCGCAUGUAUCUGAGAUCUUGUCCUUUCGGUCAUGUCCCAAAGCUCAUGACCAUAGGUGAGAGUAGAAAUGUAGAUUGACCAGUAAAUCAAGACCUUUUCCUUUCGAUUAAGCUACUUCUUUACCACAACAGACCGAUACAUAAAUGGCAUUGCUGCUGCCGCUUCACCGAUUCACCUGUCAAUCUCAUGUGGUUCUAUAUAAAUAAACCUUUCCAACACUAUUUUCCAAAAAAAAAAAAAAAGCAUAAGACAUGUAAGACUGUCCAUAAAACCUUAUCAUCUUCAGGAAAGAGGGGCUCUUUCUCAUGAGGCCUCUGGGGCUUUAGAUCGGGUUCAUAAUGCACCAGGCGAACAGGCUUGUCUGAUUCCAGAAAUCGAGUGAGCCAUUCAGAAACCUUGUCCCCACAGUCCCUGCCCUGGACAUCUACUCCGAAGACUCUACACACAAAAACAAAUUACACACAGUCACAUCUAUUCUCAUUCUUAAAAAAAAAAAAACUUUGUUUACAUAUAUAAAGUAUGACUUGUAAUGUGUAAAAUUACUGCAUUACAAAACACCACACCAAGUAAUACAUUACUGAAUUUUAUGGUAUGUUCACAACAGUGGUUUGAUUAUCUUGGUUUGUUCGGUCCAGGCCAAAAGAAAAUAUGUAUUUAUCCAUUCAUGGUUUGCUUGCUAUUCAGCAGUGUCAUUUCUAAGACUUAACACUUAAAGACUCAAACAAAAACUUGAUUUUAAGAUGUAUAUGUCAGACAGAUCUUACCAAACAAUGCUGUUCGCACAUGUGAUAGUAUGUUGUUUAGCUGAGAAUGAUGUGAAAAAAUGUUUGUUUGAGCAGUCUGUUUUAUUUAUGUGAUCUGGUGGGAUCACAUCAUGCUUUUGGUCUAUAUCAUCUUCAUAUCUCAGUCGAACCACACCAGGGUUCACUUGGAAGCAGAUCAGUUUCAGUGUUUAAAAUAAAGACAUUAAAAGUCCAAUCAUA